CCUACGGGGGGCUGCAGUGGGGAAUAUUGGACAAUGGGCGAAAGCCUGAUCCAGCCAUGCCGCGUGUGUGAAGAAGGCCUUCGGGUUGUAAAGCACUUUCAGUGGGGAAGAAAGCCUUGGGGCUAAUACCCUCGAGGAAGGACAUCACCCACAGAAGAAGCACCGGCUAACUCCGUGCCAGCAGCCGCGGUAAUACGGAGGGUGCGAGCGUUAAUCGGAAUUACUGGGCGUAAAGCGCGCGUAGGCGGUCUGAUAAGCCGGUUGUGAAAGCCCCGGGCUCAACCUGGGAAUGGCAUCCGGAACUGUCAGGCUAGAGGGCAGGAGAGGAAGGUAGAAUUCCCGGUGUAGCGGUGAAAUGCGUAGAGAUCGGGAGGAAUACCAGUGGCGAAGGCGGCCUUCUGGACUGACACUGACGCUGAGGUGCGAAAGCGUGGGUAGCAAACAGGAUUAGAUACCCCAGUAGUC
This 465-nucleotide ribosomal RNA is filed under the name Vreelandella stevensii. RNAcentral's name for it is "partial 16S ribosomal RNA". It matches the Rfam family "Bacterial small subunit ribosomal RNA", at positions 338 to 795 of the family's 1533-position model. The record is from RNAcentral. Lineage: Bacteria; Pseudomonadati; Pseudomonadota; Gammaproteobacteria; Oceanospirillales; Halomonadaceae.